GUAGUAUAGAGGACUACCAUGGUUGUAACGGGUAACGGAGAAUCAGGGUUUGAUUCCGGAGAAGGAGCCUGAGAAACGGCUACUACUUCCAAGGAAGGCAGCAGGCGCGCAAAUUACCCAAUCCCAACACGGGGAGGUAGUGACAAAAAAUAACAAUAUCGAUGUUUUUACAACUUUGAUAAUUGGAAUGAGUACAAUCUAAAACCUUUAACGAGUAUCAAUUGGAGGGCAAGUCUGGUGCCAGCAGCCGCGGUAAUUCCAGCUCCAAUAGCAUAUAUUAAAGUUGUUGCAGUUAAAAAGCUCGUAGUUGGAUUUUGAAAUGUUAUAAAACAACCCGCUUUUGUAAGUGUGUUUUUUGUUGUUUUAUAUCUUUCUCCUUACUAGACUUUCACUAUUGUUCUUCAUUGAUCGAUAGUUUCAUCUCUCUUCUGAGGUGAGUGAUGGUUAGACCUCUUGGGUUUAGGAUUGUGGAUGAUUGCUUUUGGUGAUUGUUCUGUUUAGAUUCAAGAACUAAUCAUUAGAAAUCUAGUUCUUUUACUUUGAGUAAAUUAGAGUGUUCAAGGCAAGCAAAUUAUUAUUGUUGCAAUGAAUACUAUUAGCAUGGGAUAAUGGAACAGGACACGUAUUCUAGUUUUCUGUUGGUUUCUAGAAUUUUUUGGCUUCUUCGGAAGUCAGUAGUGUAAUGAUUAAAAGGGACAGUUGGGGGCAUUCGUAUUUCAUUGUCAGAGGUGAAAUUCUUGGAUUUAUGAAAGACGAACUUCUGCGAAAGCAUUUGUCAAAGAUGUUUUCAUUAAUCAAGAACGAAAGUUAGGGGAUCGAAGACGAUCAGAUACCGUCGUAGUCUUAACCAUAAACUAUGCCGACCAGGGAUUGGAAGAUGUAUUAUUCUGUGUAACAGCAGAAAAACUCCUUCAGUACCUUACGAGAAAUCAUAAGUCUUUGGGUUCUGGGGGGAGUAUGGUCGCAAGGCUGAAACUUAAAGGAAUUGACGGAAGGGCACCACCAGGAGUGGAGCCUGCGGCUUAAUUUGACUCAACACGGGAAAACUUACCAGGUCCAGACACAGUUAGGAUUGACAGAUUGAGAGCUCUUUCUUGAUUCUGUGGGUGGUGGUGCAAGGCCGUUCUUAGUUGGUGGAGUGAUUUGUCUGGUUAAUUCCGAUAACGAACGAGACCUCAGCCUACUAAUUAGUUAUGCAAAUGAUUACAUUCUUUAUGAGGGGGGUUUUUAUUACAGCUUUGGGUUUGACUUGGAGAUGUAAUAGAAAAACUCGUUUUCAUUUGUUAGAGAUUUGACACUUCGGUUGACGAUUUCGAUAAUGACUUCUUAGAGGGACACUUGGUGUUUAACCAAGGGAAGUUUGAGGCAAUA
This 1371-nucleotide ribosomal RNA is filed under the name Paramoeba branchiphila. RNAcentral's name for it is "SSU rRNA". It matches the Rfam family "Eukaryotic small subunit ribosomal RNA", at positions 328 to 1455 of the family's 1831-position model. The record is from RNAcentral. Lineage: Eukaryota; Discosea; Flabellinia; Dactylopodida; Paramoebidae.